RNAcentral lists this ribosomal RNA (401 nucleotides) under uncultured prokaryote. RNAcentral's name for it is "bacterial SSU rRNA". It matches the Rfam family "Bacterial small subunit ribosomal RNA", at positions 355 to 774 of the family's 1533-position model. The record is from RNAcentral.
UGGGGAAUAUUGCACAAUGGAGGAAACUCUGAUGCAGCGACGUCGCGUGAACGAUGAAGGCUUUCGAGUCGUAAAGUUCUGUCCUAGGGGACGAUAAUGACGGUACCCUAGGAGGAAGCCCCGGCUAACUACGUGCCAGCAGCCGCGGUAAUACGUAGGGGGCAAGCGUUGUCCGGAUUUAUUGGGCGUAAAGGGUACGCAGGCGGCCUUUUAAGUCAGAUGGGAAAUCUUACGGCUCAACCGUAAUUAGCAUUUGAGACUGAAAGGCUUGAGUUAAGGAGAGGAAAUUGGAAUUCCUAGUGUAGCGGUGAAAUGCGUAGAUAUUAGGAGGAAUACCAGUGGCGAAGGCGACUUUCUGGACUUAUACUGACGCUGAGGUACGAAAGCGUGGGGAGCAAACA